Molecule: non-coding RNA, 73 nt
Organism: Stegodyphus mimosarum
Lineage: Eukaryota; Metazoa; Arthropoda; Arachnida; Araneae; Eresidae
Source: Rfam
GCCUUCAUGGUGUAGUGGUCAGCACACUCGACGCGCAACCAAGAAGUCCGUGGUUCGAUUCUCGGCGAAGGCG